This 497-nucleotide ribosomal RNA is filed under the name uncultured bacterium. RNAcentral describes it as "partial 16S ribosomal RNA". It matches the Rfam family "Bacterial small subunit ribosomal RNA", at positions 28 to 507 of the family's 1533-position model. The record is from RNAcentral.
GAUGAACGCUGGCGGCGUGCCUAAUACAUGCAAGUCGAGCGAACAGACGAGGAGCUUGCUCCUCUGACGUUAGCGGCGGACGGGUGAGUAACACGUGGAUAACCUACCUAUAAGACUGGGAUAACUUCGGGACACCGGCGCUAAUACCGGAUAAUAUAUUGAACCGCAUGGUUCAAUAGUGAAAGACGGUUUUGCUGUCACUUAUCGAUGGAUCCGCGCCGCAUUAGCUAGUUGGUAAGGUAACGGCUUACCAAGGCAACGAUGCGUAGCCGACCUGAGAGGGUGAUCGGCCACACUGGAACUGAGACACGGUCCAGACGCCUAAGGGAGGCAGCAGUAGGGAAUCUGCCGCAAUGGGCGAAAGCCUGACGGAGCAACGGCGCGUGAGUGAUGAAGGUCUUCGGAUCGUAAAACUCUGUUAUUAGGGAAGAACAAAUGUGUAAGUAACUAUGCACGUCUUGACGGUACCUAAUCAGAAAGCCACGGCUAACUACGUG